UUAAACUGACAAAACUCGAUUGUGAUAAUUAUGGAAAGGAAUGGUUAUGUUGUUGCUUUAAUAUUAUUAUUUUUUUACACGGGACAGUCCAAAUGUGAGUAUAGUAGUGUAUUUAGGGUUCAUAUCGUUUAAUAGUGAAUACAAAACAACAGCCUCUCAUAAAAUACUUUAAAAACGUCAUAGUUAUCACUGUCAGUUCAAAAGAAAGAAUGAAAACGUAGAUUACGUGUUGUCCCUAAUUACUGUAGCCGCCGAAAGGAACGAUUCCUGGCACUAUUCCUUUAAAAUGAAAAAGUCUUGGUUAGGUAUAGAUAUAAUGUCUUCACUGGAUACUCUCAUCUGGGAAUAAAACUGUCUAAAGAGAAACGUCUUGGUUGUACAGGAUGUAUAAAAACGCAGCCACGUCUUGUCAGAAUAUGAAAACGUUUAAUGCAAUGUCUCGUGUAUUGUGAAUUCCACGCUCUCUGUGCAUUUAGGAACUGUUGCAACCGCUCUUUAAUAGGUCUACAUGGGUGCCAAGUUGCAAGAGCAAUUCCAGUCCAUGUUUUCAUUUUCCUUUGGUAAUCCAAAUCUCCACUUUUUAUCCUGGUCAAUUCACUUUGAAGCAACUAUAAUUUUGAUUUUUUCUCGUCCUACAUAUUCUUAAAAUAUAUAGUUCACUGUAAUGCAAAAAUCAAUCAAUCAAUCUAUCAGCCUUUUUUACAAUUAAGGUGUGAAAUAUCAAAGGAAGUCCUAUUUUUACUAGAUUUGUUUGAAUUAUUUAACUUUGAAAAUUAAGUAAAGAGAAAGAUAAUUCCCCUUCGAAUUGUUUUCUUAAGUCUGUCAAAUGUAAAAUCACGGACUACGGAAUAUAAAUAGAAUUUGCCUUUAUGUCAGGCUAUGCAUAAUAAUAGGGAAAAAUUCAAUCCAAAAAUAUAGACUAUUUAUUAUAAAUACUACAUAUAUGACCUAUUUCACGGAUUUGAAUGACAUUUUUCUUUCAACUAGAGCUUAACAAACUGAUUGUUAUAUCUGGAAAUGGAUAUAUGUAACCUUCAAACUUCCUGAUGUAAAGCAUAUUAAAUAUCCAGAAAAAAAAGAUAAAUCGAAAAACUUUAGGGAUAUAAACCGAGGUGCACCUGAGAUCACCCCAAGUUUUUGUGGGGUUCGUGUUGCUUAGUCUUUAGUUUUCUAUGUUGUGUCUUUUUUACUAUUUUUUGUCUGUUUGUCUUUUUAAUUUUUAGACAUGGCUUUGUCAGUUUAUUUUCGAUUUAUAAGUCUGGCUGAUAUCUUUUGCCCCUCUUUUGUUUCAAGCUUGAUGGAUAGGAGUUUGAGGGAUAAAAGAGGGACGAAAGAUACCAAAGGGACAGUCAAACUCAUAAAUCUAAAACAAACUGAUGGAUGCAGUCACUUUUCGGGAAAAAAUAUAUUGGAACAAAAAUUGAAAAUGAUUGACCACCCGGCUAACUUUUAGCCUAUAUUUGUUUAUUUGGCUUAUAUCUUUAAUCCUUCAGAAGUGUGUUCCUUUAGCAGCCUGCUGCAAGGUCACACUGUCAAUUUCCGCCAUUGUAUUAAUUUCUAUUUUGCUUGCGUGUAAAUAUCGUUUUACGCGAAACCUCCCUAUUGCGUACUAUUCUUGAAAGGAGAAAACAUUCAUUGCAAUAUUGGUGAAAAUGCAACCGUUUUAACAAUACACCCGACCACUUGCUCGACCAUGUCCACGCCCCAGCAUGCAACUUAUGAAACGUUUACUAACCAACUCCCCCUACUGAUAAAAGGAGGGCAAUACCGCGAAAUGCAAAGUAGCAAGUGUAAUAAAAAAGAGUUUUUAUUCCACGAAAACCUACCUGUAAACUAGGUCCUAUCCUGAGCAGCAGAUUAAUCAUGAUAAAUAAAGACCUUAAACUGACCAAAUCAUAAAACGAAGUUCAAUUCCACUGAUGUAUAACUUGCAAACUGGACCACUGAGAAAAAGAAAUCGAGCAAUCCCAAUGGAACAAAUCGUUCAAUCUCGUUCUACUGAUAAACAGGAGUCCAAUCUAGCUAUAUAAAAUAUAGAUAGUACGAUUUACAAUAUUAGUUUUAUGUACAUAUAAGGAUUUUUUUAAAAAGUCCAGAAAAAACGUAAUGCCUUUAAUGAUAAUAACUUUGAAAAUCUCAACAUUCUCAUUCCAAAAAAAAAAAUGCUACUCUCGACCUCUAUUUUUUGUAAAACUCCUUAUAAAAAUGAUAUAUCUGUUCCAAACUAAAGAAUUAAAAAGAUGAUUACAAAAUCUUUUUUUGUUUUGUUUUGUUACUACAGGUUUGCUAACUCUAUUUCAUGGAUGCUUCACUGGUUUUGAUUCUAACAUUUCCUUUAUGAGCAGCUAUAUGUCGAUUGAAAUGUGUUCUAAAUUUUGUGAUGAACAACAUUAUACCUGGGCAGCAACUUCGGUAGGUCAUUUUAUUUUAAUUUGCUCUCACGCUUCUCUCUAUCCAUAUGUCUCUCACGAUCACCUCCACAUCCAUAUAGAUCUAGAUAUCAAUCAAUAAAUGUACACAUGUGGGUAUAAGUAAAAAGAGACAGAAAAAAUAAAAUCGACACACAAUUCAAACAGUUUUUUGAGGUCAACAUACGAUAUUUAUUAACAGACUAUAAAGUCAAAUAUCAAAAUCAUGUGAAUGGAGUCUCAUGGAAAGAAACCUAUAACAUAUAUACCAGGCUUUAAUUGGCAUUUAACAGAGAUAAUAUUUUUUCUGAUAUUUGAUUACAUCUUUAUACUAAAUCCAUUAGAAGUUGGAUAUGUAAUGAUUAAGAAAUAAUUCAUGGAAGCCAUAGAUUUGUUGGAUAUUUACACAUGGCCUAACCCAGCCAUGUGUAAAUUUCCAACAAAUCUAUGACUUCCAUUAAUUAUUUCGAUUCUAAUAGGACAAAUAAGUUCAUUCAAAAAUGAAACGAGAAUGGGUAUGGACGUGUGUGUAGCUGUUCUUUUUACCCCUUGUUAGAUAAAGCUCAAAUAUUCUCAGAAAUCUUUAGCUUGCAUUGAUUAUUUCGUUAAUAACCGCUAGAAAAUAUAUGUUUAAUUAUCAAACUCAAUAUUUGCGAUUUUUAAUUUACAUGUUUUCUCGUAAGCUACCGUUAAAACCAAAAUUGACAUUUCGUAACGAAGGAGCUGAAAUCAUUAUUUACAACCACUGGGUCGAUGCCACUGCUGGUGGAGAUUUAUUUCCCCGAGGGUAUCACAAGCACUUUUUGUGCUGACAUGAAUUGUCAUUGAUAUGGUUAUAUUUAUAAAUUUACUGUUUACAAAUUUUUCAAUUUUUUGAAAUACUAAGGCUUUUCUACCUCAGGCAUAGAUUACCUUAGCUGUAUUUGGCAAAACUUUUAGGAAUUUUAGUUCUAAGUGCUCGUCAACUUCGUACUUUAUUUGGCCUUUUUAAUUUUUUUUGGAUUCGAGCGUCACUGAUGAGUCUUUUUGUAGACGAAACACGCGUCUGGCGUUUAUACUAAAUUUAGUCCUGGUAUCUAUGAUGAGUUUAUUUGAUAUGCAAAUAUUGCAAUAGAAUAGAAAAUAAAACAAAACCUACCUCAGAAGUCCAUUUUAAAACAUUAUUAUACGAACUUCGAUGGUUACAAAAAAAUAAUAAAAAAAUAUACUGCAACUUAAAUUAGUUUAUGAUUGAUAGCAUUUAAAAUCGUAACAUAAAUAUCAAGCGUAUUAUCAUCCCUUUAUGAAUCCCUGUUUGUGGAGAAAGUGUUCCAUUAUGAAAUUGACAUUGCACAAAAUAUAACAAUUUUACUAUAUUAAGGAAAUAAACACAACAAGUUAUAUAUUAUAUAUAUAUAUAUAUAUUUAUUCUUUUUAUAAUGCAUCCAAAUAAGAAUAAAAGUUCUAUUGUCUCUUGUUUUAUUACAAUUUCUAAUACAAUAAAAUCGGCAAUGCGUUUGCAAAUAGGUUCAAAUACAUGCGGAUUUACGUGGGAGGUAUAUUGUAACAUCCAUUAUUAUGUAUAUUUUUGAGUCUGCGCUAAGUAUAGAUAUAUCAAGAAUUUUCACACGGUGUUCUUUACAAAGAAGCACGUCAUAUUAGAAUUGAUAUUAUUCAGAUUCAUUGCUUUUAUAUUAGUUGCUAAAGGCUUUGAACUAGCUUUCAGUAACGCUCGAAUAGAAAAAAAGAUUAAAAGGCCACAGGCGCAUUGAGGACCUAAAAUUUUACUUAAUACAAAUAAGGUUAUCGAUUCCUUGGAGAUAUAUACUUUACAUACAGGCGCUGUUUGAGUGUUGCUACAAAGAAAAGGGAAGUUCAAGAGAAGAGGGACGAAAGAUACCAAAGGGACAGUCAAACUCAUAAAUCUAAAACAAACUGACAACGCCAUGGCUAAAAAUGAAAAAGACAAACAGAAAAACAAUAGUACACAUGACACAACAUAGAAAACUAAAGAAUAAACAACACGAACCCCACCAAAAAACUAGGGUAGAUCUCAGGUGCUCCGGAAGGGUAAGCAGAUCCUGCUCCACAUGUGGCACCCGUCGUGUUGCUUAUGUUAUUACAAAUCCGGUAAAUAGUCUAAUUCGGUAGGUCACAUUCAUGAAAGGGAAGGGGAUUGUAGUUACGACGUGAGGAACAUAUCUGAUAUCAUAAAUUUGGAAGUUUUCAAGUUAUCUAUUGUUAGGAGUAAUAUAAGUAAGUUUAGAAAUCAGGAGGUGUGGUAUUACUGCCAAAUCGACUUUUCAUCCAAAACAAAAGGACAUAGACGUAAAAAUUAAUGAUCACCAUACGAACUACGGUCGGACAUUAUGAUACUACAUUUGAGUAAAGUACAUUUAAUUGGUUUUUUUUCUGUUAAUUUUACAUGAAAUGCAUCAAAUCGGAAUAGCAAGGGCAUAGAUUCAAAAUAUGAUAUGUAUAGGAAGUAAUUUAAAGCCAGUCUAUAUUAUUUGAUUUAUUUUUAAUUGAGUUAUAUACAAGAAAUAUGACAGAAAGAAAGAAGGCACUCAAAAUAUUUGUUUAAAUUUAUUGUGUCGAAGGGUCACGUUGAUGGAGAUAUUUUGGACUCACAUACUGUCGCUAAGUGCAGCUGCAGUAAAGAACCAGCACAUACUGAAAUCAACGGAACAGUUUGUAAUUCUCCUUGUCCAGGAAAUGGAAAUGAAACAUGCGGGGGUCAAAAUACAACAUUUGUGUCAAUGUACAGCAUUGUUCAAGACGGUCAGUGUACUUUCCAUAUACACAAAUAAAUUUAU
RNAcentral lists this long non-coding RNA (5203 nucleotides) under Mytilus galloprovincialis (Mediterranean mussel). Lineage: Eukaryota; Metazoa; Mollusca; Bivalvia; Mytilida; Mytilidae. The record is from RNAcentral.